GUAGGUGAACCUGCGGAAGGAUCAUUAACACAUCUCUUUACAAUUCUCUUCUUUUUUUUUUUUUUUCCAAAAAAAAAAAGAGAAGGAAUUUCACCCCUUUUUUCUAGCGAACAUUUGUUUUUUCCUUUCGGGGAAGUUGAAUUGCAUGCAGUUCAAUUUUUCCGCUUUUUCUUUUUCUAAAACACAAACAAACCCAAUUGAAACAUUUCUUUGACUGAAAAAUUUUAUUGUACAUUUUCGAACGAAGAUGUACAAUACAAAAACAAAUACAAAUUGAAAAAACAACUCUUAGCAACGGAUAUCUUGGCUCUC
Molecule: unclassified non-coding RNA, 312 nt
Filed under: rhizosphere metagenome
Description: partial ribosomal RNA internal transcribed spacer region
Source: RNAcentral